AGCCGGGAAACCGGAAGAUGGGGUUCGAGGCCCCCGGCAGACACCGUAGCUCAAAGGACGCUCUCGCUACUUCUCGUCGCCACGGCCCAUCAACACACAGCGAAUGCCGACCGGACUACAUGGUCUGAUAAACCCCGUGUCGCGGGUUCGAGUCCCGCCCCGGCCA
RNAcentral lists this transfer RNA (166 nucleotides) under Sphingomonas sp. BK580. RNAcentral's name for it is "tRNA-OTHER". The record is from RNAcentral. Lineage: Bacteria; Pseudomonadati; Pseudomonadota; Alphaproteobacteria; Sphingomonadales; Sphingomonadaceae.